CUCAGGGAUAGCUCCAAUCCCCACAGAGACCUCGUCCAAAAACCUGGGAGCAGCAGGGAAGAAGUAGAAAGCUCAAAGCUUGUGGUUUGCAUGACUGAGACAGUCCAACAGACGCGGUCUCUCCCACAUAUUGCUAGGUCUCCAAGCCUUCUUCAGGCCCGUUACGUACCUUGUUUUGUGAUUUAGGACACCUACCUGGUUUAUAUUCUCAAUGAGCUGGCCGGCAACUCCUUCAUGAUAUUCUGUAGCACCUGUAACAACACUCAGAGAACAGCAUUGCUGCUUCGCAAUCUCGGGUUCACGGCCAUCCCCCUCCAUGGGCAGAUGAGUCAGAGCAAGCGCCUUGGAUCCCUUAAUAAGUUUAAAGCUAAGGCGAGGUCCAUUCUCCUAGAGUCUAGGCUGGCCACAUACGUGCUCCUCCACUGCUGAUGUGUCAUAGCCCACCCCACCCCCCAAAAGGCAGAAGAGUAGCUGUGGUUGCAGUGAGCUCGGGCGUUCUGCCUCUCCUCUCAGAGCCAGCUGCUGACCUGUAUGCGUUUGCCUUGGAUACCUCCGUGUACUCUGAACACCAGACAGGCUUACGUGAAGCACGAGUCUAGUAGGGCAAUGUCAGCUGCCUCAGAGGAGACUCUAGAGGAGACCCUGGAAGUGUGUGUCCUUCCUGGGGAGAACUCUGAGGUGUGGGAACUUUGCCUUUGUUGGUUUUUGAAUAACUGAAAUACAGACUUCUGUGGUUUUCUGCCCACAUGG
Molecule: long non-coding RNA, 750 nt
Filed under: Rattus norvegicus (Norway rat)
Lineage: Eukaryota; Metazoa; Chordata; Mammalia; Rodentia; Muridae
Description: long non-coding RNA NONRATT020980
Source: RNAcentral